AGAGGUGUGGCUCAGUGGCAGAGCACCUGCCUGGCAUGCAGGAGACUGUAGGUCCCACCCCCA
This 63-nucleotide transfer RNA is filed under the name Fukomys damarensis (Damara mole-rat). It matches the Rfam family "tRNA", at positions 1 to 62 of the family's 71-position model. From Rfam's summary of the family: Transfer RNA (tRNA) molecules are approximately 80 nucleotides in length. Lineage: Eukaryota; Metazoa; Chordata; Mammalia; Rodentia; Bathyergidae. The record is from Rfam by way of RNAcentral.